Molecule: unclassified non-coding RNA, 221 nt
Filed under: soil metagenome
Description: partial contains 5.8S ribosomal RNA, internal transcribed spacer 2, and large subunit ribosomal RNA
Source: RNAcentral
AACACUGUUAACCUGCGGUACCUGCGGAAGGAUCAUUACUGAGUCUAACAAACUCCCAAACCCCUGUGAACAUACCUACUGUUGCUUCGGCGGGACCGCCCCGGGCGCCUUCGCGGUGCCCCGGAACCAGGCGCCCGCCGGGGACAUCAAACUCUUGAUUGUUAUAGUGGCAUUCUCUGAGUAAAACAUACAAAUAAGUCAAAACUUUCAACAACGGAUCU